Molecule: ribosomal RNA, 851 nt
Filed under: uncultured bacterium
Lineage: Bacteria
Description: bacterial SSU rRNA
Rfam family: Bacterial small subunit ribosomal RNA
Source: RNAcentral
CAAGUCGAACGAGUUCUUGUUGAUGAUCGGUGCUUGCACCAAGAUUCAACAUGGAACGAGUGGCGGACGGGUGAGUAACACGUGGGUAACCUGCCCUUAAGUGGGGGAUAACAUUUGGAAACAGAUGCUAAUACCGCAUAGAUCCAAGAACCGCAUGGUUCUUGGCUGAAAGAUGGCGUAAGCUAUCGCUUUUGGAUGGACCCGCGGCGUAUUAGCUAGUUGGUGAGGUAAUGGCUCACCAAGGCGAUGAUACGUAGCCGAACUGAGAGGUUGAUCGGCCACAUUGGGACUGAGACACGGCCCAAACUCCUACGGGAGGCAGCAGUAGGGAAUCUUCCACAAUGGACGCAAGUCUGAUGGAGCAACGCCGCGUGAGUGAAGAAGGCUUUCGGGUCGUAAAACUCUGUUGUUGGAGAAGAAUGGUCGGCAGAGUAACUGUUGUCGGCGUGACGGUAUCCAACCAGAAAGCCACGGCUAACUACGUGCCAGCAGCCGCGGUAAUACGUAGGUGGCAAGCGUUAUCCGGAUUUAUUGGGCGUAAAGCGAGCGCAGGCGGUUUUUUAAGUCUGAUGUGAAAGCCCUCGGCUUAACCGAGGAAGCGCAUCGGAAACUGGGAAACUUGAGUGCAGAAGAGGACAGUGGAACUCCAUGUGUAGCGGUGAAAUGCGUAGAUAUAUGGAAGAACACCAGUGGCGAAGGCGGCUGUCUGGUCUGUAACUGACGCUGAGGCUCGAAAGCAUGGGUAGCGAACAGGAUUAGAUACCCUGGUAGUCCAUGCCGUAAACGAUGAAUGCUAGGUGUUGGAGGGUUUCCGCCCUUCAGUGCCGCAGCUUACGCAUUAAGCAUUCCGC